Molecule: ribosomal RNA, 507 nt
Filed under: uncultured bacterium
Lineage: Bacteria
Description: partial 16S ribosomal RNA
Rfam family: Bacterial small subunit ribosomal RNA
Source: RNAcentral
GACGAACGCUGGUGGCGUGCCUAAUACAUGCAAGUCGAACGCAUUUUCUUUCACCGUAGCUUGCUACACCGAAAGAAAAUGAGUGGCGAACGGGUGAGUAACACGUGGGUAACCUGCCCAUCAGCGGGGGAUAACACUUGGAAACAGGUGCUAAUACCGCAUAAUUCCAUUUACCGCAUGGUAAAUGGAUGAAAGGCGCUUUUGCGUCACUGAUGGAUGGACCCGCGGUGCAUUAGCUAGUUGGUGGGGUAACGGCCUACCAAGGCUGCGAUGCAUAGCCGACCUGAGAGGGUGAUCGGCCACACUGGGACUGAGACACGGCCCAGACUCCUACGGGAGGCAGCAGUAGGGAAUCUUCGGCAAUGGACGCAAGUCUGACCGAGCAACGCCGCGUGAGUGAAGAAGGUUUUCGGAUCGUAAAACUCUGUUGUUAGAGAAGAACAAGGAUGAGAGUGGAAAGUUCAUCCCUUGACGGUAUCUAACCAGAAAGCCACGGCUAACUACGUG